Toxotes jaculatrix (banded archerfish) is the source of this 1334-nucleotide long non-coding RNA. RefSeq lists it as uncharacterized. The transcript is spliced from 2 exons. NCBI's taxonomy places the organism in Eukaryota, Metazoa, Chordata, Actinopteri, Toxotidae. The record is from RefSeq and is a predicted model, not a curated record.
AUGUAGAUACAGAAAGGAAUGUGACCUGAGUGUUUAAACUCCUUCCUUCUCAUCAGUGUCUCAGACUCUUUGGCGGCAUCGAGGAGGGAAGAAGCAUUUCUUGUGAAUUUAUUUCGUUUCUAACAUUCUGACAUCUUACAGAUAAACUGGUAAAGCAGGGAAUAAUUGCUUAAACUUCAGCUGCAGUCAGCUGCUCCAGUCAUGGAUUGCAUCGCCUAUAUCGGCCGCUGCCUGCUGUUUUUCUUCAUUGCCGUCCUCUUGGACGCAGCGGGCCUCAUCCUCUUCUUCAUCGGGAUUUUCGCUCCGCUCAGCUUCUGGGAUUUCUUUGUCUUCUCUGGGCCCCUCAUUAUCUUCCUUAGCCUGGUGUUCUGGAUCUUCUGGUAUCUGGGAAACCUGGAGGUGCCGAUGGAGGAGCUACUCCCCAAAUAGAUUCACGGCUCCUUCUUUUGCAGCACGAGACUAUUUUCUGGCAACUAGGGCUGGAUGAUGAAACCAAAGCUACAGCUACAGGGGGAACAUUUUCAGCUCCUAGUCAAUCUCACUGGUGGAUUGAAUAGAGGACACUGGAUUUUACUAUGAAAGGACAAACACGGGACUUUAAUCUGAAAGGACAUCUGUAUGCUGAACACCUCAGGCUCGGGGAUGAGUUUAGAAACUUUUGAAUGUCAUUGACUUUCCAACAAGAAGUGUUAACAGUCGACAGAGAUUCAGAGGUUCUGAUAUAAAUCCCAUCACCUUCUGAUUCCAAUAAGGGCGGCCAAUCAGAUUCUGAGGGGGGGGGGGGCCCUUGUUUCACUCUGACUUCAGAAUCAGGGACCAGAAUCUCCCAUUCACACAUCUUCACUCCAUUUACAUCCCAAUGACGCUGCUCAUCCAGUUUUUACUCUUUCUUUCUUUUUUUUACUGAUUUCCUUUUGAAGGCUGUUGUUCUGUCUCUGUGGUGUUGUUCGUGUUGUGAAAUCUGAGUAUUGGUCGCUCAACCCAUCCAACAGAAACCAGUCAAACUGGGUCCCUUAGUUACUGGGGCAGGGAGUCCUCUCACUUUACAAGAAUGGGUUUGUGUGAGGAGAAAGGGAAGAAGAAGAUCUGCCCUGUCUAUGAAACAUUAUAACAACAGGAAAACAUGGUGGAACUGAAACGGAGGGAGCAGUCUGUACAGAUUUAAGUGUAAAAUGUGAUCUUGCAUAAUCUUAACAUCAGAUAUGUGGCAGAACUUGUUUCUCUGUUACCAAAGUAGACACACCCUGUUGUGGCUGAUGUUUAAGCUUAACACCAGAAUUAUCCUCAGGUUUUCAAAUCCCGUCCAUGAAAACAGAGCAACAACUAAAGAAAAA